UACGUAGGGGGCAAGCGUUGUCCGGAUUUAUUGGGCGUAAAGAGCGUGUAGGCAGCUUUACAGGUCCGUUGUGAAAACUCGAGGCUCAACCUCGAGACGCCGGUGGAAACCGUAAAGCUAGAGUCCGGAAGAGGAGAGUGGAAUUCCUGGUGUAGCGGUGAAAUGCGCAGAUAUCAGGAAGAACACCCGUGGCGAAGGCGGCUCUCUGGGACGGUACUGACGCUGAGACGCGAAAGCGUGGGGAGCGAACAGG
This 253-nucleotide ribosomal RNA is filed under the name uncultured bacterium. Its description in RNAcentral is "partial 16S ribosomal RNA". It matches the Rfam family "Bacterial small subunit ribosomal RNA", at positions 524 to 776 of the family's 1533-position model. The record is from RNAcentral.